This is a long non-coding RNA of Myotis daubentonii (Daubenton's bat), 268 nucleotides long. RefSeq lists it as uncharacterized. NCBI's taxonomy places the organism in Eukaryota, Metazoa, Chordata, Mammalia, Chiroptera, Vespertilionidae. The transcript is spliced from 2 exons. The record is from RefSeq and is a predicted model, not a curated record.
CAUUAGAGGAUAUGUUUUUAUUGAUUUUUUUAGAGAGAUAGAAAGGGAGAGAAAGAGAGAAAGGGAGAGAAAGAGCUAAACAUCGAGUGGUUGCUUCCUGUAUGUACCCUGAAUGGGAACUGAACUCAUAACCUUUUGGUGUAUGGGACAAUACUCCAAGGAAACCAUUUUAGAGUCAAUUUCCUUUCCUAUACAUCUAUUUAUUAACCACUGCUUAUAUUUCCUGAGUUGACAUACUCAGUAGAUUCAUUAAGUUUUAGCCUGAAGC